RNAcentral lists this ribosomal RNA (966 nucleotides) under Alistipes sp. OttesenSCG-928-L06. RNAcentral's name for it is "bacterial SSU rRNA". It matches the Rfam family "Bacterial small subunit ribosomal RNA", at positions 554 to 1533 of the family's 1533-position model. The record is from RNAcentral. Lineage: Bacteria; Pseudomonadati; Bacteroidota; Bacteroidia; Bacteroidales; Rikenellaceae.
UUGGGUUUAAAGGGUGCGCAGGCGGCUUGGUAAGUUAUAGGUGAAAUUUCGGUGCUUAACAUCGAAACUGCCUGUGAUACUGCCGAGCUAGAGACCAGUUGCAGAAGGCGGAAUGUGUAGUGUAGCGGUGAAAUGCUUAGAUAUUACACAGAACACCGAUUGCGAAGGCAGCUUUCUAAGCUGGAUCUGACGCUGAGGCACGAAAGCGUGGGGAGCGAACAGGAUUAGAUACCCUGGUAGUCCACGCCGUAAACGAUGAUAACUCGUUGUCGGCGAUAUAAUGUCGGUGACUAAGCGAAAGCGAUAAGUUAUCCACCUGGGGAGUACGUUCGCAAGAAUGAAACUCAAAGGAAUUGACGGGGGCCCGCACAAGCGGAGGAACAUGUGGUUUAAUUCGAUGAUACGCGAGGAACCUUACCCGGGCUUGAAAGUUACUGACUGAUCUGGAAACAGGUCUUCCCUUCGGGGCAGGAAACUAGGUGCUGCAUGGUUGUCGUCAGCUCGUGCCGUGAGGUGUCGGGUUAAGUCCCAUAACGAGCGCAACCCCUAUCGUUAGUUGCCAUCAGGUCAUGCUGGGGACUCUAGCGAGACUGCCGGUGUAAGCCGAGAGGAAGGUGGGGAUGACGUCAAAUCAGCACGGCCCUUACGUCCGGGGCGACACACGUGUUACAAUGGUCGGUACAGAGGGUCGCUACCCAGUGAUGGGAUGCUAAUCUCGAAAGCCGAUCUCAGUUCGGAUUGCAGGCUGAAACUCGCCUGCAUGAAGUUGGAUUCGCUAGUAAUCGCGCAUCAGCCAUGGCGCGGUGAAUACGUUCCCGGGCCUUGUACACACCGCCCGUCAAGCCAUGGAAGUUGGGGGUGCCUGAAGUACGUGACCGCAAGGAGCGUCCUAGGGCAAAACCGAUAACUAGGGCUAAGUCGUAACAAGGUAGCCGUACCGGAAGGUGCGGCUGGAACACCUCCUUU